AGGUAAGCUACUAAGAGCGAAUGGUGGAUGCCUUGACUGGUAAAGGCGAUGAAGGACGUACUAGACUGCGAUAAGCUACGGGGAGCUGUCAAGAAGCUUUGAUCCGUAGAUUUCCGAAUGGGGCAACCCAAUGUAUAGAGAUAUACAUUACCUAUAUAGGAGCGAACGAGGGGAAUUGAAACAUCUUAGUACCCUCAGGAAAAGAAAUCAAUAGAGAUUGCGUCAGUAGCGGCGAGCGAAAGCGCAAGAGGGCAAACCCAGUGCUUGCACUGGGGGUUGUAGGACUGCAAUGUGCAAGAGGUAAGUUUAGCAGAACAUUCUGGAAAGUAUAACCAUAGAGGGUGAUAGUCCCGUAUGCGAAAAACAAACCUUAGCUAGCAGUAUCCUGAGUAGGGCGGGACACGAGGAAUCCUGUCUGAAUCCGGGUCGACCACGAUCCAACCCUAAAUACUAAUACCAGAUCGAUAGUGCACAAGUACCGUGAGGGAAAGGUGAAAAGAACUGAGGUGAUCAGAGUGAAAUAGAACCUGAAACCAUUUGCUUACAAUCAUUCAGAGCCCUAUGUAGCAAUACAGGGUGAUGGACUGCCUUUUGCAUAAUGAGCCUGCGAGUUGUGGUGUCUGGCAAGGUUAAGCAAACGCGAAGCCGUAGCGAAAGCGAGUCUGAAUAGGGCGCUUAGUCAGAUGCUGCAGACCCGAAACGAAGUGAUCUAUCCAUGAGCAAGUUGAAGCUAGUGUAAGAACUAGUGGAGGACUGAACCCAUAGGCGUUGAAAAGCCCCGGGAUGACUUGUGGAUAGGGGUGAAAGGCCAAUCAAACUUCGUGAUAGCUGGUUCUCUCCGAAAUAUAUUUAGGUAUAGCGUUGUGUCGUAAUAUAAGGGGGUAGAGCACUGAAUGGGCUAGGGCAUACACCAAUGUACCAAACCCUAUCAAACUCCGAAUACCUUAUAUGUAAUCACAGCAGUCAGGCGGCGAGUGAUAAAAUCCGUCGUCAAGAGGGAAACAACCCAGACUACCAGCUAAGGUCCCUAAAUCUUACUUAAGUGGAAAACGAUGUGAAGUUACUUAAACAACCAGGAGGUUGGCUUAGAAGCAGCCAUCCUUUAAAGAAAGCGUAAUAGCUCACUGGUCUAGUGAUUUUGCGCGGAAAAUAUAACGGGGCUAAAGUAAGUACCGAAGCUGUAGACUUAGUUUACUAAGUGGUAGGAGAGCGUUCUAUUUGCGUCGAAGGUAUACCGGUAAGGAGUGCUGGAGCGAAUAGAAGUGAGCAUGCAGGCAUGAGUAGCGAUAAUUAAUGUGAGAAUCAUUAACGCCGUAAACCCAAGGUUUCCUACGCGAUGCUCGUCAUCGUAGGGUUAGUCGGGUCCUAAGUCGAGUCCGAAAGGGGUAGACGAUGGCAAAUUGGUUAAUAUUCCAAUACCAACAUUAGUGUGCGAUGGAAGGACGCUUAGGGCUAAGGGGGCUAGCGGAUGGAAGUGCUAGUCUAAGGUUGUAGGAGGUUGUACAGGCAAAUCCGUAUAACAAUACUCCGAGAACUGAAAGGCUUUUUGAAGUCUUCGGAUGGAUAGAAGAACCCCUGAUGCCGUCGAGCCAAGAAAAGUUUCUAAGUUUAGCUAAUGUUGCCCGUACCGUAAACCGACACAGGUGGGUGGGAUGAGUAUUCUAAGGCGCGUGGAAGAACUCUCUUUAAGGAACUCUGCAAAAUAGCACCGUAUCUUCGGUAUAAGGUGUGGUUAGCUUUGUAUUAGGAUUUACUCCGAAAGCAAGGAAACUUACAACAAAGAGUCCCUCCCGACUGUUUACCAAAAACACAGCACUCUGCUAACUCGUAAGAGGAUGUAUAGGGUGUGACGCCUGCCCGGUGCUCGAAGGUUAAUUGAUGGGGUUAGCAUUAGCGAAGCUCUUGAUCGAAGCCCGAGUAAACGGCGGCCGUAACUAUAACGGUCCUAAGGUAGCGAAAUUCCUUGUCGGUUAAAUACCGACCUGCAUGAAUGGCGUAACGAGAUGGGAGCUGUCUCAAAGAGGGAUCCAGUGAAAUUGUAGUGGAGGUGAAAAUUCCUCCUACCCGCGGCAAGACGGAAAGACCCCGUGGACCUU
This 2096-nucleotide ribosomal RNA is filed under the name Campylobacter jejuni. Its description in RNAcentral is "partial 23S ribosomal RNA". It matches the Rfam family "Bacterial large subunit ribosomal RNA", at positions 1 to 2101 of the family's 2925-position model. Lineage: Bacteria; Pseudomonadati; Campylobacterota; Epsilonproteobacteria; Campylobacterales; Campylobacteraceae. The record is from RNAcentral.